Molecule: RNA transcript, 1265 nt
Organism: Papilio polytes (common Mormon)
Lineage: Eukaryota; Metazoa; Arthropoda; Insecta; Lepidoptera; Papilionidae
Gene name: keratin-associated protein 10-10-like
Exons: 3
Source: RefSeq, a predicted model, not a curated record
AAAAUUUGAAGUUGCUGUAAUGCAUUAACACAAAAAAUUUUAAGUAUUUUUUAUAAAAUAAAUUUAAUUUAAUUUAUUUAAAAAUCAUAUAAGAACAAACUAGAUAUAAAAAUGGAUUGCUGCUUCGUAAAUGAAUGCGAACGAUUUGCCGUGACUCCGGUUCUUAUGAGUCCCCAAGUUAAAUGCUGCGAAAGUGCACCAUUAUACGUACCGUGCUGCAAUGAUAAACUCGUAUAUUGUUGCGAGAAGAUACGACCUUGCACGCCGGUGGCGAGGAAAGUAUGCUACGAUAGUAACUGUGACCACACGUGUACUCUAUGCUGUGAGCCGCCGCAGAAGUUUUGUCCGACCUGUCGUCAGCCGACCGGCCCGCCUGCGAAGCCAGCAGUCAAAUACGUCAUGCCUUGCUACCGAUAUGAAGAUGGACGAAUUGAACAAUUUGAUUCCAAAAUCCACGGUAAACUCCCAGCUUCUGCUUAUAAAAGGAAUGGGAUACAAGAUCAAAUUAAUGGAUAUAGAGGGGCACGACGUGAUCUGUGCGCAGUAGAACACGAAGGCAAAUAUUAUGUUUACGCCGCAAUAGAGCCUUUUAGGAAAUUCUAUUCAAGAAUUUCUGAUGAAAAACACCCCGUGAAACUGUCGCCGAAAAAGAUUUUCGAUAAAUAGUUUAAGAGAAAAUAAAAAUAUAACUAACAUGAGUUAAAGUUGAAGUACGAAUCGGACUAAGGGUAAAUGUUAUGCCAUCGUCAGCGCUAAAACGGAAUGGCAUUCAAGACCACAAGUAUACCGAAAGCGGUGGAGUUGAUUAUUUAUGCCAAAUGCCGAACACCUCCUUGUGGUCGGAUAAACCAUUUUAUAUGCCCAUCAAGCCAUUGAAGAGAAUCGCUAAUACAGUGACUUUGAAAGGAUUAAAAUGACAGAAACCGAGUACAUCGAUGUUGUCGUUUUGAUCGUUUAGCAAUGAACUUUGAACGCGCUUGAAAUGAGUAAUGAUUCAAUCGAUAGCAUGAAUGUUACAAUUGCGGUAUGAUUACAGGUACAAAACCUGCCUGUGUCCGCAUUCAAGCGUAACGGAUUGCAAGAUCAAGAACAUUCCAAAUUGUUGGGAACCGCAAACUUCUUAGUCCGAUGUCGGAACGAUAUUGCGAUAGAUUGUGACGCGUAAAAUGUUAUGAUAUUGUUAACUGUUGUCCUGUUCCAUGAAGCCUAAUUGUUUUGUGAUUGCCGUAUUUAAUAAGAAAAAUAAAGUAUUGUUUUAUAAAUAA